Molecule: ribosomal RNA, 159 nt
Filed under: Neomortonia rosea
Lineage: Eukaryota; Viridiplantae; Streptophyta; Magnoliopsida; Lamiales; Gesneriaceae
Also listed under: 3 other names
Description: 5.8S ribosomal RNA
Rfam family: 5.8S ribosomal RNA
About the family: 5.8S ribosomal RNA (5.8S rRNA) is a component of the large subunit of the eukaryotic ribosome. It is transcribed by RNA polymerase I as part of the 45S precursor that also contains 18S and 28S rRNA. Functionally, it is thought that 5.8S rRNA may be involved in ribosome translocation.
Source: RNAcentral
UAAAUGACUCUCGGCAACGGAUAUCUCGGCUCUCGCAUCGAUGAAGAACGUAGCGAAAUGCGAUACUUGGUGUGAAUUGCAGAAUCCCGUGAACCAUCGAGUCUUUGAACGCAAGUUGCGCCCGAAGCCAUUAGGUCGAGGGCACGCCUGCCUGGGCGU